GGGCCCGCACAAGCGGUGGAGUAUGUGGUUUAAUUCGAUGCAACGCGAAGAACCUUACCAGGGUUUGACAUCCUGCGAAUCUCUUGGAAACAGGAGAGUGCCUUCGGGAACGCAGUGACAGGUGGUGCAUGGCUGUCGUCAGCUCGUGUCGUGAGAUGUUGGGUUAAGUCUCGCAACGAGCGCAACCCCUAUCUUUAGUUGCCAGCAUUUAGUUGGGCACUCUAGAGAGACUGCCGAUGAUAAACCGGAGGAAGGUGUGGAUGACGUCAAGUCAUCAUGCCCCUUACAUCCUGGGCUACACACGUACUACAAUGCUACGGACAAAGGGCUGCAAGUUCGCGAGGACAAGCAAA
RNAcentral lists this ribosomal RNA (353 nucleotides) under uncultured bacterium. RNAcentral describes it as "bacterial SSU rRNA". It matches the Rfam family "Bacterial small subunit ribosomal RNA", at positions 917 to 1271 of the family's 1533-position model. The record is from RNAcentral.